RNAcentral lists this ribosomal RNA (953 nucleotides) under Ozola japonica. RNAcentral describes it as "partial 16S rRNA". The record is from RNAcentral. Lineage: Eukaryota; Metazoa; Arthropoda; Insecta; Lepidoptera; Geometridae.
AAAGAGCUAAUUAAUUAAUAAAGUUAAUGUGAUAAAAUUAUUUUAAAUAAUUAAUUUGUAAUGAAAUGUUAUUCGUUUUUAAAUAUAUCUAGUUUUUUUAGAAAAAAAUUUAAUUUUAAAUUUAAUAAAAAAAAAAUUAAAUAUUUAAUUUUUUUUUUAUUAAAUUUUAUAUAUUAAGGGAUAAUCUUUAAUUUAAAUAUUUAUAAUUAAUAGUUAUUUAAAAUAAUUGAAAAUUUUAUAAUUUAUAUUGUUAAUAAAUUUUAAUUUAUUAAAAAUAAUUUCAUGAUAAGAUAAAAUUUAAUUUUAUAUUUAAUUUUUUAUAAAAAUAUUUAUUUUAAUUAAAAAAAUAAAUUUAUAAUGAUAAAAUUAGUAUAUUAUAUAAUUAAUUUUAUUAUUAAUUUAUUAAAAAUUAAUUUAAAGGAAUUCGGCAAAAUAUAUAUUCACUUGUUUAACAAAAACAUGUCUUUUUGAAUUUAAUGUAAAGUCUAAUCUGCCCACUGAUUUAAAAUUGAAGGGCUGCAGUAUAUUGACUGUACAAAGGUAGCAUAAUCAUUAGUCUCUUAAUUGGUGACUUGUAUGAAGGAUUGGAUGAAAUAUAAACUGUCUCUAUUUUAAUUUGUAGAAUUUAAUUUUUUAUUUAAAAAGAUAAAAUAUUUUAAAAAGACGAGAAGACCCUAUAGAGUUUAAUAAUUGAAUUUUAUUAAAUUAUUUAUAAAUUUAAUAUAUAAAUUUAUUUAAUUAUUUUGUUGGGGUGAUAAAAAAAUUUAUUUAACUUUUUUUAAAAAUAUUUACAUAAAUAAAUGUUUGGUUUGAUCCAUUUUUAGUGAUUAAAAGAUUAAAUUACCUUAGGGAUAACAGCGUAAUUUUAUUUUUUAGUUCAAAUAAGAAAUAAAGUUUGCGACCUCGAUGUUGGAUUAAGAUAAAAGUUAAAACGCAAAAGUUUAAAAUUUUUG